RNAcentral lists this ribosomal RNA (410 nucleotides) under uncultured bacterium. Its description in RNAcentral is "bacterial SSU rRNA". It matches the Rfam family "Bacterial small subunit ribosomal RNA", at positions 359 to 766 of the family's 1533-position model. The record is from RNAcentral.
AGGAUUGGAUGGGCGCAAGCCUGAUCAGCAAUGCCGCGUGCAGGAAGAAGGCCUUCGGGUUGUAAACUGCUUUUGUCAGGGAAGAAAUCUUCUGGGCUAAUAUCCCGGGAGGAUGACGGUACCUGAAGAAUAAGCACCGGCUAACUACGUGCCAGCAGCCGCGGUAAUACGUAGGGUGCGAGCGUUAAUCGGAAUUACUGGGCGUAAAGCGUGCGCAGGCGGCUUUGCAAGACAGAGGUGAAAUCCCCGGGCUCAACCUGGGAACUGCCUUUGUGACUGCAAGGCUAGAGUACGGCAGAGGGGGAUGGAAUUCCGCGUGUAGCAGUGAAAUGCGUAGAUAUGCGGAGGAACACCGAUGGCGAAGGCAAUCCCCUGGGCCUGUACUGACGCUCAUGCACGAAAGCGUGGGG